UAGGGUUUGAUAGGGGACCUCUAUAAAUAGGAGGGAUUCAGAGCCUCAUAGGCAAGAGCCUUUGCUUGCCUCUCCUAUUCUCCUUCCCCUCUCCACCUCAGAGUAGGCUUGGAGUUUUGAGGAGCGUCGUCGCAACCCUACUGUGUGGAUCACCGCUAGAGAGGAGGACGCUUGACCUCCUUCACCCUCUCCUAAAGAUCUGC
This 203-nucleotide long non-coding RNA is filed under the name Musa acuminata (dwarf banana). Its description in RNAcentral is "long non-coding RNA (MACU_LNC011217)". Lineage: Eukaryota; Viridiplantae; Streptophyta; Magnoliopsida; Zingiberales; Musaceae. The record is from RNAcentral.